Molecule: long non-coding RNA, 2942 nt
Filed under: Rattus norvegicus (Norway rat)
Lineage: Eukaryota; Metazoa; Chordata; Mammalia; Rodentia; Muridae
Description: long non-coding RNA NONRATT015923
Source: RNAcentral
CAACAGCCUGCAAAUAGAAAUAUACUUCUACUAUUUCUGAAGAUGAUGUGUAGCAUUUUUUUUAAAGUUUUUGUCUGCAUCACACUCACCUGGUGCCAGCAGAAGCCAGAAGAGAGGGUUAGAUUCCCAGUGACUGCAGUUACAAAGAGUUGUGAGCUACCUUGAGGAUGCUAGGAACCAAAUCUUGGUUCUCCGUAAGAGUACCAAGUACUCUUAACCAUUGGGCCAUCUCUCCAGCCCCAACAUGCAUAACAUUUUGCAUUUCCAGAUGAACAUUCAAAAUACUUCUUAAAUAAAAAUAUAAAUGAAUUUUGAACACAUCCAUAUUAUAAACACUGUGUAAGUUCUAACACAACAAAAUAUGAAUUCUCUUAUUAAAAUUACUGUAUAGUCAGGGCUGGGAAGAGCUCAGUAAUUAAAAGAUGGUCUGCUCUUCCAGAGGACUUGGUUCAGUUGCCAGUAUCCAUGCCCUCAGAGUUCUGAUACUCUCCUCUGGCCUGUACAGAUACCUGUAUAUGUAGGAAAACAAAAAUUAAAAAACACUGGGUAGUCAUACGUAUAUUGUACAUCAAGAUUCAUUUUAUUUUCUAUUUCAUUUAAAUACCAGAGAAUGAUGUCAUAGUUUCCCUUCUGUGUCCCUUCUUAAAAGAGCAUUCAGCUUACAUAAAUUGGAAUGUCUGAUGAAAUUUACCUGUGGAUAGGUAACUAUUGAGCUCUCUAAAGUGGUAUUUUUGUCCAUAUUUCUCAUUCAUUUAAUUCAGCCGAUUGGUCAAAUACAGAAUGUAGAACUUGGAUCUUGUUGCUCUGCAUGCUGGCAGGAGGCUUGGGUUGAUCUGAGAGGUGGUCUGGCUUCUCUGGCAGUGACCUGUAAGGUUUCGCUUUGAUUUCACCUUCAGAAAACAUGGGCUCCGAGAGCACGGGUUCAGAGAAGGCUUUUCUAAAAUUCUUGCUCUCUCUAUUUUGCCUUAUGGAUUCUUCUUCUUGGAAAAUGUUCUUUAUCUUUGCCAGCACAGCAUUAACACAGACUGCCUGUACCAAAAUCCAAAACAAAAUGAAACAGAAAUGUUGAAAAAUAAUGUUUCCCUUUAAGGUACUAACAACCACAGACAAAAAGUAACAUGUCUAAUAUAGUCAAUCUACAUGUUCUAAUUUAAAAAACCCUUCCUUUGAGGAAACCCUGACUCAUGGCAAGUGAUAGAUCGAUUCCUUAUCCUAAAUAUGGAAAGGCAUUUAAAUAAAACAUGCAUAAAAAUAACUUCAGAAGUGAGAAAUACAACAAGUUUAAUCUUAACUUACUCUUCAUCACUAAUGACGUCGAUGAUGGAGCCAAGGAGUGAAAGACAACAACCAUUCCCUGAAGCUAAACAGAACAGCACUAGUUUGCCUUGCACAAGAACUGCCUCAAGUCGACAUGAGGACAGCAAACAUUCAGGGCUUUCUUUCUCUCCUUCAGAUUUCAACGCACUUUACUUUUCUCAGAGAACUCUUAUUAUUACAGCACAUGGCUUAUAUGCUGUUACAUUGCUGUAUCACAAUGAUAAUUUACCCUCUCCCUCCUCGUACUAGUCCCAGCCCUUCCCUCGUAGUCCUUCCACUAGCUUAUGUCUUCUUAAAAAUCAUUCUGGUUUCCACACAAUGAGACAAAACAUACUAUACUUUUCUUUCUACGUCUUUUGUCUUCUCCUAAAUGACCUCAAAUUCCAUUCUGUAAUCUUUUUCCCAAAUGUUAUAAUUUCAUUUCAUAGGUUUCCUUUGCAUUGAUCUAGAUGAUGAUAUUUUUGUCUUAAUUCUAUUUAAUACUGAAUUAAAUAUUGGUUUACAAAUAUAGAUCUAUCCUAGCAUCCCUGAGAUGAAACUGACAAUUAUGAUGAUGUUUUAACAUAUAUUUCUGAGUUCAAUUUGCAAGUACCUUAUUAAGGAUUUAUUCACCUAAUUAGUUUCAAAGAUGAUCAAGUAUUAUCAAAGAUUAUAUUGGCCUAUAAUUUUUUUCUUCCCUUUUCUUCCUUUCUCGUUUUUCAGAUUUGUAAACCUUGUAGUAAUGGCUUAAAAUGUUUUGAAAAAUAGUGUUUUGUGUGUUGAUUAAAAGAAUGUGUGUUUUGCUACUGUUGUAUGGAAUAUUGUGUAGACAUUUAUUAAAUCAUUGACCCUUAGUGUACUUAACGCUAUAAUGUUUCUUUGUCCAUAUUUUUGUCAUGAUGGUCUGUGUGCUGGUGAGAGCAGGGAUACUGAAGUCACCAACUAGGAUUGACACAAUGGUAUUGUAGUCUUAGCUCUCCUUGUAUGCUUGUUUAAUGAGUGAUCCAGUCUUCAAUGUAUAUAGAUUUAUAACCAUUACAUCUCCUCAAUGGACUGUUCCUCUUAUAGUUUGGAUGUAAAAUGUUCUCCAUAGGUUCAUGGGCUGAAGGCUUUGUCCCAGAUAUGGACCUAUUUUGGGAGGUGCUAGUAAUUUUAGAUGAUGGGUACUUCCUAUAAUCAUUAUUUCGUUGGAGGUAUAUUCUAGGGGUUAUAUCUUGCCUUGUCCACAUCUCCUUCCCCUGCUUCUUCUCUGUCAUUAAAUAAUAAGCUUCUGCCACCUGCCUCCACUGUCAUGCUUUACUCCAAUGUGAGAGCUGUGGAGAAAGCUAGCCUUUGCUGAAAGUUCUCACACUGUGAGCCAAAAUCAACCUUUCCUUCUUUAAAAUUGUUUCUUUCAGUUACUUGUUUCAGUGAUGAAAAGCUGCCUAGUACAAUUCCUUUUGCUGAUAUAUAGUGACCUUGUUUUUUAUAUUUUCUGAACAUUUUGUCUUUAAGUCUCCUGCUUGGUUUCUGAUUUAAUUUUCUAGAAUAUAAUUUUCUGAUAUUUCAUCUUUAGUUUUUGUAUGACUAUGUGAUGGAUGUGCGUUUCUUGCAGGCAGAAUUUCUUGUAUCUUGUUUUAAAAUCCAAUAAAUCAUUUUGAAAUUUU